GACCCCNCGGGGUGCAGCAGGCGCGAAAACUUGGCAAUGCGAGCAAUCGUGACCAGGGAANNCCAAGUGCAUCGGGUAAGACCGAUGCUUUUCUUGACUCUUCAACGGUCUUGGAAUAAGGGGUGGGUAAGGACGGUGCCAGCCGCCGCGGUAAUACCGGCGCCUCAAGUGGUAGUCGCUUUUAUUGGGCCUAAAACGUCCGUAGCCGGUUUGGUACAUUCGUGGGUAAAUCAAGGCGCUCAACGUCUUGAAUUCUGCGAGCACGGCCAGACUUGGGACCGGGUGAGGUGUGGGGUACUCUCAGGGUAGGGGUAAAAUCCUGUCAUCCUGAGAGGACCACCUGUUGCGAAGGCGCCACACUAGAACGAAUCCGACGGUCAGGGACGAAGCCUAGGGGCACGAACCGGAUUAGAUACCCGGGUAGUCCUAGGUGUAAACGCUGUGGACUUGAUGUUGGGAGUGCUCCGAGCACCCUCAGUGUCGAAGCGAAGGUGAUAAGUCCACUGCCUGGGGAGUACGGUCGCAAGGCUGAAACUUAAAGGAAUUGGCGGGGGAGCACUGCAACCUGAGGAUUGUGCGGUUUAAUUGGAUUCAACGCCGGAAAACUCACCAUAGCCGACGGACAAAUGAAAGCCAGCGUAACGAGCUUGCUGGAUUGUUCGAGAGGUAGUGCAUGGCCGUCGUCAGUUCGUACCGCAAGGCGUUCUGUUAAGUCAGAUAACGAACGAGACCCUCAUCCCUAUUUGCCAAGGUCUGUCCGCAGAUCAAGGGACUAUAGGGAGACCGCUGGCGCGAAGUCAGAGGAAGGCGAGGGCAACGGUAGGUCAGUAUGCUCCGAAUGCUAUGGGCUACACGCGCAAUACAAAGGACGGGACAAUGGGCUGCAACUCCGAGAGGAAAGACGCUACCCCGAAACCCGUUCGUAGUUCGGAUUGAGGGCUGUAACUCGCCCUCAUGAAGCUGGAUUAGGUAGUAAUCGCGUCUCAAAAAGGCGCGGUGAAUAUGCCCCUGCUCCUUGCACACACCGCCCGUCAAACCAUCUUAGUUGUGGGUGGGUGAGGCUACCUCUCUGUGUGGUAUUCGAGCCUGCC
RNAcentral lists this ribosomal RNA (1091 nucleotides) under uncultured Candidatus Poseidoniales archaeon. Its description in RNAcentral is "bacterial SSU rRNA". It matches the Rfam family "Archaeal small subunit ribosomal RNA", at positions 319 to 1413 of the family's 1478-position model. The record is from RNAcentral. Lineage: Archaea; Methanobacteriati; Thermoplasmatota; Candidatus Poseidoniia; Candidatus Poseidoniales.